This 391-nucleotide ribosomal RNA is filed under the name uncultured bacterium. RNAcentral's name for it is "bacterial SSU rRNA". It matches the Rfam family "Bacterial small subunit ribosomal RNA", at positions 29 to 410 of the family's 1533-position model. The record is from RNAcentral.
AAUGAACGCUGGCGGCGCGCCUAAUACAUGCAAGUCGAGCGAGAAGACGUAGCAAUACGUUUGUAAAGCGGCGAACGGGUGAGGAAUACAUGGGUAACCUACCCUCGAGUGGGGAAUAACUAGCCGAAAGGUUAGCUAAUACCGCGUACGCUUCUUGGACUUCGGUUCAGGGAGGAAAGCGAUGCCGAGGGUAUCGCGCUCUUGGAUGGGCUCAUGUCCUAUCAGCUUGUUGGNGAGGUAACGGCUCACCAAGGCUUCGACGGGUAGCUGGUCUGAGAGGACGAUCAGCCACACUGGCACUGCGACACGGGCCAGACUCCUACGGGAGGCAGCAGUAAGGAAUAUUGCGCAAUGGGCGAAAGCCUGACGCAGCGACGCCGCGUGGGGGAGU